GGGAGAGCCCAAUCACAGGGCGAGCUGGACCUGGCUGUGAUCAUUUAUAAUCCUUGACUCCUCCGCUCCGCCACUUGUCAAGAUGACAGACAUACAAUGCUCAGCCAGAACUGAGUCUCCUUAGUCAACCCUGGCUUCCUUUGAAGAUCCACAAACUGAGUCUCUGACUGAAGAGAGGAGAAUUCCAGAAAAGUGGCCUCUGUGGAAUUUACAUGAAGUCAGCUAAGUCUCAGUUAUAAUUUCUGAGACCAUACACUCCCUACAUCAUAUUUAAGGGGAAAAGAAAACUUUGUUUCUCUUAGAUCUAGAUAAACUACUGCAAUAUAAGGAGUUAAGAAAGGCAAUAAUAGAGGAGGCAUGAACACACAAGACCUUGGGAAGAGAGGAAUGUGAGCUGUGAAAAACCAAGCAGAAGUGUUUCCAUCUUAAUGGCGCUAUGAGCCGGAGAAGUCGCAGAAAACCAAAGGACUCAAGAGGAGGCACUGCUACCAAGAACUCGUGUCCACCAUGCAUUGGUGAAAGGACAUGAAGGAGCCAUUUUACCAACCUGAACCUUUCUCCAUGGGGCACUGCACAGCUUAACCUCUGAAACUCUGUUGAGCCGUUGAGGGCUCCUAAAGUUUCUUAACAGAGUCCCUCUUUACAGUAAAAACCCUACUUCUCUCUGAGUACAGAGUCAAAGCAGUCCUACAGCACUAACAUUUCAAUUGCUGCAUAUGGAGCCCAGUAAGUAAAGGACCCCCUAAGAGCGGUUAUGACUGGAUUGUAGCUGCUUCAAACAUUUAACUUUCUAUGAAUAGUUUCUGACGUUUUUGAAGGCUAAGCACCCCAAGUCAUCACUUUUCCAUCCAAGCAUAUAGGAAAGCAGUCACUGAUUGUGUGAUUGAUUCUUCACUGACCAGAAUAUAAACAUGGAGGAGAUUGUUAGCACCCAUGGUAUCUGAGGGAGAACUUACAGCAUCUGUUCACCUAUGUUAUAUAUAAAACAAUAGAUUGUAUAUACAAAUAUAGAAAACAUUUCACUUGUUUGUAUGUGCAUUAUAUGUAUUUUGAGUGCAGAUCAAGUGUAUCAUAGUCCCACUUAUCAUUAGUUUCAUUUUUUACAAUUUCAUAACAGUGGCCUAAAAAUAAUAGGUGGAAAAUUUUAGAAGCAAUCCAUACAUAUGUGUUAAAUUACACGACAUUUUGAGUACCGGGAUAAAUUCUCAUUCUGCAUUGCUUCUUCUUGCCCAAAAUAUAACUCAUUUCUUUGGUCAGUGUAUCUGCUCUGUAUAUCUUGCCUGUUACCUCCACGAUCAGAACCAUUUUUUGGAACAGCAUAGGGUCUGUAUUCAAAUCACCCUGUUAUGCUUAGCAAUGUCUCCCAAACAAGUCAUGGUACUGAAAUAUGAAUAUGUUAGAGAAAAACUGGAGAGUGUCUUCUUCAAGCAAAAUGCAAAGGUCUCCACUUAAGGGGGGGUUUAUAGAGCUAUCAUGUUGUUAAAUCAUGUACUAGGUAUGAUUCAUAAGUCAAUCUAUGUUAUAGCUAUGCAUGUACAAGAGAGAAGCAUGGUGCAUAAAGGGGCUGGUAUUAUUUGUGAUUUCUGAUAUUCACUGUAUUCUUGGAACACAGAAUUGUGUACCAUUGGCUUUCCCCAACCCUAAUGUUGUAUGUUUAAUGGAGACUUUGCUCUGUGACUAUUCAUCUAGUUUUGAACUGUACUAAGAAAGCACACACUCAUAUACACUUUCCUUACUAAGAAAAUAGUUCUCAUUUGUUCAAUCCAUUUGUUGCACCCUACAUUUCUAUGCAUACAUAGAGAUGUAUUUUCUUUUCAUUUGCAUACACAUAUUUUGUAAGUUAGAUUCAUUAGAAUUUUCCCUUUCACAGAUGGAGCUUAGUGGCAUGGGUAUCUGUGGUGUGGCCAAGGAAAAAUAAGGCAAGAAGAGGGAGGAAGAGGUUCUGGUUUAUUAUGAGUGCUAUAAGUGAAUGUCCAAAAUUCCCUAUGGAAAAAAAUGCCCCCAGGCACACCACUCAUGGGGACUUCCAAAGUUUGUUGCAUUCACUCAAUACAUAAUUUCAACAAAUCCAUUUAUGACUUUGAAAUGUGAAGUGUCCAAGUGAACAGAAGAAAUACUCAAAAGAGGAAAACUGGAAAAUAUUAAAAGUUGGACAGAGUUACUGAAAAACAGCCAGGUAGUGUGACUUUAGUUAAUAUAAAGGGCAAACGUCUGGCCAUCUUUCAGUAUUUGCAAGAGCUCUACUCAUUAAGAUGUAUAAGGAUGGUUUUGAAUCAUUAGGAAAAGGUGAAGUUAUAUGUCUAUCUUAGCAUAUUCUGGGCAAAAAAAAAUUAAAACAGUUCAUUUAGAUUGAGUUCCAUCAAAAUUAUUAAAGUUUGUAAGAGUGAAUCCUCAAGUUUUUAAGGCAUGCAAAUUUCCUUCUCUUUCCCUCUUUCUCCUUCUCUUUCUCCUCUCUCAUCUCUGCUCUAUCCCAUCUUCUUUCUCAUUCCUGCCCCACCACAUGCCUAUUACAUAUGUGCAUAAUACUUAUUUGGUGUUUGGUUUUGAUGUUACUGGUGAGGUGGACUUCUAUUUAAGGAAACACUGUUGUAGGACAAUUUAAGUACUUGGAAAUAAUCUUACAUUUUCAUUUCUCAUAUAGAAAAAAUAUGCUGGUAUAUUAUAUUCAUUAUUCUUUUAAGUUCAGUCAACUCCCAAUUAUUUCUGGUAAUAGAGAGUAGGGAUAAAAUGAGCAGGUGAAAUCUAUUUCUAGUCCCCGAACACAACUUCGAGUCUCUCCCCUCGGUCUUCUUCACUAGAAGCAGAGCUAUGUCUCUUUCCCUUUCUUUGUGGACUCAUUUCAAUUGUUGAAUAACCUUAAGCAAAACAAGCCAAGGUGGUGGUGGGGAACCCAAACGUAAGGAUGAUCUGAAAUCCUUUCUAAAAUUAAGACAGCAAACAUAAUCUAUAAAGCUAAUUUUUAAAAAGCUGGGCUGCUUUUUUCAAACAUUGUGUCUGAAACAUUGUGUCACUACCAGAGAAGACUAGAAUGUCCUUCAUUAAAUGAUGCUAUUUUGAAAGGCAUUCAUACAUUUAGAAGACAGUUUCCUCUCAUUACAAAUGUAUUUUAACUUUCAGAAUAGCAGUUGGAUGUUUAAACAUAAUAGCUUUAUAUAUUUUAUAACUUACAGAGGAGGACAAAUAAGCACUGGCUUAAUAAAAUCAUUAACUAGAGAAUUAAGAACAUUUCAAGCAUGACCUCCAGACAGCUAGCAUCAGGCUAGGUUUCCUAGCUGUUCCUUAACUAGCAAUAGUAUUGACUUUUUAAAAGUAAGAGUGAAUAGAAUUUAUCUAAGGAAGAAUCAAUAUGAAGCUGAAACUCCAAGGUCUUAACAGCUAAUCUUGAAGAGCAUCACUCAGAGGCGAGAUUAGUAUGG
Mus pahari (shrew mouse) is the source of this 3416-nucleotide long non-coding RNA. RefSeq lists it as uncharacterized. Lineage: Eukaryota; Metazoa; Chordata; Mammalia; Rodentia; Muridae. The transcript has 5 exons. The record is from RefSeq and is a predicted model, not a curated record.